AACGCACAUUGCGCCUUCUGGUAUUCCGGGAGGCAUGCCUGUUCGAGCGUCAUCAAACACAUCCUCAAGCAAUUUUGCUUGGUCUUGGAGGAAGAUGUCAACAUCUCCUCUCAAAUACCUCAGCGGAAACCUCUGCAGCAUCAGGUGUGAUAAUAGCUUUUCACUUGGUGACUGUGGUUAUGUUCUUGCUGUCAAGAGCCCCCCAGCUUCUAUAAGUUUGACCUCGGAUCAGGUAGGGAUACCCGCUGAACUUAA
RNAcentral lists this unclassified non-coding RNA (255 nucleotides) under uncultured fungus. RNAcentral's name for it is "partial contains 5.8S ribosomal RNA, internal transcribed spacer 2, and large subunit ribosomal RNA". The record is from RNAcentral. Lineage: Eukaryota; Fungi. RNAcentral also lists the same sequence under 1 other name.